GUGGGGAAUAUUGGACAAUGGGCGCAAGCCUGAUCCAGCCAUGCCGCGUGAGUGAUGAAGGCCUUAGGGUUGUAAAGCUCUUUCAGUGGGGACGAUAAUGACGGUACCCACAGAAGAAGCCCCGGCUAACUUCGUGCCAGCAGCCGCGGUAAUACGAAGGGGGCUAGCGUUGUUCGGAUUUACUGGGCGUAAAGCGCACGUAGGCGGAUCGGUAAGUCGGGGGUGAAAUCCUGGGGCACAACUCCAGAACUGCAUUCGGUACUGGCGAUCUUGAGUCCGGAAGGGGUGAGUGGAACUCCGAGUGUAGAGGUGGAAUUCGUAGAUAUUAGGAAGAACACCAGUGGCGAAGGCGGCUCACUGGUCCGGUACUGACGCUGAGGUGCGAAAGCGUGGGGAGCAAACAGGAUUAGAAACCCCUGUAGUCC
This 425-nucleotide ribosomal RNA is filed under the name uncultured bacterium. Its description in RNAcentral is "partial 16S ribosomal RNA". It matches the Rfam family "Bacterial small subunit ribosomal RNA", at positions 354 to 796 of the family's 1533-position model. The record is from RNAcentral.